GUGCUCACUUCAGCAGUACAUACACUGAAAUUGGGAUGAUACAAUGAAGAUUGAUAGGGCUUCUGUGCAAGGAUAUGACACAAAUUUGUGAAGCCUUUUGAAAUGAA
This 107-nucleotide small nuclear RNA is filed under the name Erinaceus europaeus (western European hedgehog). Lineage: Eukaryota; Metazoa; Chordata; Mammalia; Eulipotyphla; Erinaceidae. The record is from RNAcentral.